Molecule: long non-coding RNA, 959 nt
Filed under: Triticum aestivum (bread wheat)
Lineage: Eukaryota; Viridiplantae; Streptophyta; Magnoliopsida; Poales; Poaceae
Description: long non-coding RNA (TAES_LNC023085)
Source: RNAcentral
UCCCGCUCCCUGCAUCUCUCCCUGUCUCCUCCACGAGCUGCACGGUGCGCAUCCCUCCUUCCCGCAUGCUUCUCCUCUCCCUCCCCAAAUCGCCAUGAAUCUCGCGCUGUUGGAGCCCCUCCCCUCCUUCCCCAAUCCGCCGUGGAUCUUGUGCUGCUAGAGUUCCUCCUCUCCCUUCCCUGGCUGCCAUGGAUCUCGCAGCCGCCGCCGCCGCCGCCGCCGCAUGAAGCCCCACAUCCCCAAGCUCGACGGGCUUGGCAGCCGACAACGGGCAAACCCACCACACGUCUCACAAUCCCCAAGCCCCUAUCUUCUCCUCCCCCCUCACGGCUACACUGAUGCGGUCUCCUUUUGUAGGAAGUACGUACAUGCAUCCUUGUGAGGAAGAUUGAUCGGGAUGGAGAAAUCAGGCGACGCGGAACCACACCAAGCUCCAAUACUAUCGCCUCGUGUGUUGCCUGCUCCACCUCCUUACGGAUAUGCUGCUUCUUAUCAUGUCCCAGCCGCUGGUGUCCACACUGUCCCUUGACUCUAUCUAAAGCGAGGCAGACCUUGGCUACAAGCCUCGGUCCAGCGCACGAGUGUUCGUCCUGAUUCUUCUAACUGACGAAGCUUUUGUCGAUCUUACUAUUUUCAGGUGCGACCAAUCCAAGUGUUCAUCCAUUCUGGUCUAUUUCUUUGGAUAAUUUAUGGAGGCCGUGGUUCUGGUAUUUGUAUGUAUUCGCAAAUUGUUCACAAGGCCUGGUUAGUAUCUUGGACUGCAAAAGCACAUCUCUUAGUUCUUUAAUAUGCAAUUACUUAGAUUUUAUUGUCCUAAAUGUAUGUAUCCUUAAUGCCAUGGUUUGUUACUUAUGGUUGUUGUCAAAGGAGGAAAUAAUAGGGAGGAUUGGAGAUGCACUGGGCAUGCCAUGGCAACGAAACAAAAGCUUAUUACUUCAAUUCAAUUAUGCAAGCUGAAG